UGGCGGCGUGCUUAAUACAUGCAAGUCGACGAAGCACUUUGACAGAUCCCCUCGGGGUGAAGAUGAUUGUGACUUAGUGGCGGACGGGUGAGUAACGCGUGGGGAACCUGCCUCGUGCUGGGGGAUAACAGUUAGAAAUGACUGCUAAUACCGCAUAAGCGCACAGUAAGGCAUCUUACAGUGUGAAAAGAUUUAUCGGCAUGAGAUGGACCCGCGUCUGAUUAGGUAGUUGGCGGGGUAACGGCCCACCAAGCCCGCGAUCAGUAGCCGACUUGAGAGAGUGAUCGGCCACAUUGGGACUGAGACACGGCCCAGACUCCUACGGGAGGCAGCAGUAGGGAAUAUUGCACAAUGGGGGAAACCCUGAAUGCAGCGACGCCGCGUGAGUGAUGAAGUAUUUCGGUACGUAAAACUCUAUCAGCAGGGAAGAUAAUGACGGUACCUGACUAAGAAGCCCCGGCUAACUACGUGCCAGCCGCCGC
RNAcentral lists this ribosomal RNA (482 nucleotides) under uncultured bacterium. RNAcentral describes it as "bacterial SSU rRNA". It matches the Rfam family "Bacterial small subunit ribosomal RNA", at positions 37 to 518 of the family's 1533-position model. The record is from RNAcentral.